UGCCUGCAAAGCAGGGCUGGUGAUAAUGAUAAUGGUGAUGAUACGGUGCAAUAAGUGCCUACUCCAGAGCAAUACCAUGUGCGAAGUGUUACUACUGCCAUCAUCAUUGUUGGUACCACUUAACAUCGUGAGCCUGGCAUUUCUCAUCAUAAAAACUUAACAGAAAAUUCCAUUUCUCCCAUAAAAAAAGAAAAAAAAAACUUGAAAGGUAUUUUUUUUUUAAUCAAAGAAAAGUUGAAUAAAGAAAAAGUCAGUCGAACACCAGCUUUAGGAAACUGUUAAUUCCAUCUAAUUCACGUUGAGCCUAAUUCAGAUUAUAUGUCCAUCAGUCAGCCUAUGCUGUGAAAACGUCCCUUCUAUUCAGAACUGGUGAUUUGGCCAUUUCUUACCUAGUUUCCGGGUGCUUUGAAUACUAAGGAUUUGGAGACAGGCAGCAGCUAGUCAGUGAUUUUUAUAAGAGGGACUUUGGGACCUCAAGAGUGAGUGGCACAGAAUU
Dama dama (fallow deer) is the source of this 496-nucleotide long non-coding RNA. RefSeq lists it as uncharacterized. The transcript has 3 exons. NCBI's taxonomy places the organism in Eukaryota, Metazoa, Chordata, Mammalia, Artiodactyla, Cervidae. The record is from RefSeq and is a predicted model, not a curated record.